This 594-nucleotide long non-coding RNA is filed under the name Piliocolobus tephrosceles (Ugandan red Colobus). Its description in RNAcentral is "lncRNA (ENSPTEG00000008363.1)". Lineage: Eukaryota; Metazoa; Chordata; Mammalia; Primates; Cercopithecidae. The record is from RNAcentral.
GGGCGCGGGCCGGCCGCCGCGCGGUGCGCUCGCCGUGCUCUGUGCGGCUCGCCGGGCCGCCCGCCAGAGGGUGCCCCCCACCCCCAUGAAGUCGGAUCCUUGAGCUGCGGCGGCGGCAGCCAACUGCUCCAUAUUUGGCUUCUAUUACACAUUUACAUACUGGAGCGAGCGAGCGAGCGAGCGCGAGAGAGCGCGAGGGAGGGAGGGCGGGCGGGCGGAGGGAGGAGGGAGGGGAGGGGAGCGGGAGGAGGGGGAGGAGGAGGAGGAGGAGGAGGAGAGAGCAGAGUAUACCGCAGACAUCAUUUCUACUACAGUGGCGGAGCCGUACAGGACCUGUUUCACUGCAGGGGGAUCCAAAACAAGCCCCGUGGAGCAGCAGCCAGAGCAACAGCAGCCGCAAGACAUUGUUUCUCUCCCUCUGCCCCCCCUUCCCCACGCAACCCCAGAUCCAUUUACACUUUACAGAGCAUCGUGCAUCAAGUCACCAGGGUGGUCCAUUCAAGCUGCAGAUUUAUUUGUCAUCCUUGUACAACAGUCUCCUUCUCCACUGCCACUACAGGGAAGUGCAUCACAUGUCAGCAUACUGGAGCAUAG